Small nuclear RNA from Bison bison bison, 108 nucleotides. NCBI's taxonomy places the organism in Eukaryota, Metazoa, Chordata, Mammalia, Artiodactyla, Bovidae. The record is from Ensembl.
GCGCUCACUUCAGCAGCACAUAUACUAAAUACAGAUAUGAUACAAAGAAGAUUGGCGUGGCCCCUGUGCAAGGAUUACAUGCAAAUUUGUGAAGCUUUCCAUAUUUUU